RNAcentral lists this ribosomal RNA (389 nucleotides) under uncultured bacterium. RNAcentral's name for it is "bacterial SSU rRNA". It matches the Rfam family "Bacterial small subunit ribosomal RNA", at positions 28 to 420 of the family's 1533-position model. The record is from RNAcentral.
GACGAACGCUGGCGGCGUGCUUAACACAUGCAAGUCGAGCGGUAAGGCCCUUCGGGGUACACGAGCGGCGAACGGGUGAGUAACACGUGGGUGACCUGCCUCUAGCUCUGGGAUAAGCCUGGGAAACUGGGUCUAAUACCGGAUAUGACUCCACGGCGCAUGUUGUGGGGUGGAAAGCCUUGUGCGGCUGAGGAUGGGCCCGCGGCCUAUCAGCUUGUUGGUGGGGUGAUGGCCUACCAAGGCGACGACGGGUAGCCGGCCUGAGAGGGCGACCGGCCACACUGGGACUGAGACACGGCCCAGACUCCUACGGGAGGCAGCAGUGGGGAAUCUUGCGCAAUGGGCGAAAGCCUGACGCAGCGACGCCGCGUGAGGGAUGACGGCCUCGG